AAAAACAACAGAAUAAAAUAGAGACAGAAGUUUCUAGAUCCCAUUAAUGCUGUUGUUGUUUUUGCCCAAUCAACAAGAUGACUCUUCACCGCCUUGUCACUUCAUCUGCCAUUUCUUCUUCAAGACGCAUACACACUCCCGAGGGAACAUUAAUUUCAACCUUUCCUUACCAGCCCUUAUUCAGAUUCACCCCAUUUCAUAUUCUCCCUUUCUGAUCAAUCCGGCUCUCUCACUCUAUCCCUUUCCUCUUGAUCUUCUGCAUAUUCAGGGACACCCCCAACCAGGUACACAGUUAUUUUAUUCUUCAUCGUUUUUUUUUGCUAACGUAUGCACAAGACUGUUAACUGCUCUUGGGAUACAUUCAAAUCUACACUCCUUGUAUUUUGAUAGUAGCUUAUGAAUAUCGUGAAUGUAGGCAUAUACUUGUGAUUUAUCUAGGAUACUUGACUUGCACUUUUUUAUUCUUGAUAAUGAGUCUCCUUCAAUAAUGAUUUUUUCCUAUUUCAUGUCUAUGCUGAUUUGGGUCGCUCUCCGGCACGCGAGCGCCUCAGCCGCAAAGGCUGAUGUCACUUGUUGAUAGAUCUUCAAGCAUGAUAAAAGAACCUUGCGUUCACUGUCUCUAGCCACAAUCCCUACAGUCACUUGAUUAUACUUUCUGUCGUAGGCUGCGUCAAAAUUGAUCUUCACGAUCUGGUCAAGUGGCUUCCUUCACUUUUUAAUAGUUAUAGAAGAUUGUGAUUUGUUUUUAUCGAUCUCAUUCAACUCUGAUAUAUAACUAUUAACAAAUCUCCCUAAUGCUUUUAUAGAUUUACUCAUUUUUUUUGUGCACUCUGUCAUUUCUAUCUCCCUAAAUUGCCCAUAAUGCACAACAGAAUAUCCUACACUGUGAUGCUGAGUUCUUCGCAAAUACCUAGGUUAGCCACUGUACAAACUCCAACUAACUUUCUUGCAAAAAAACUUGGCAUGGUAAUUCCCUCCAUACUGAAGUUGAAAUAGGACAUUCACGGAAAAGAUGUCCAUGUUCUCUGAUCCUACUCCACAACGUGGGCAUACUGUUGUGUUUGUUAGCUUUUUUUGAAGCAUAUUAACUCGUAUAGCUAGGAAAUUCUAUGAUAUCUUCCAGAUUGUAAUUUUAAUUUUUGAAGGAAGGUUUAGAAGCCAUAAUUUUUUGUAAAAUUCCUUAUAGUUGUCUUGUAAAGCGUAAGCUCUAGGAUCAUCUUUAAUACUUUGUAAUAGUUUAUAGGCACUUCUACUGUGAAUUCGCCUGACGCCUCUGCGCUCCAAACCCGAAAAUCGUCAUGAGGUUCUUCUGCCAACGGGAUGCCAAUAAUCUUAUCGGCUACAUCCUCCGGAAAGGUAGAAGCUAUCAACUCUUUCUUCCAUGUUCUGUUACUUUGAUUAAUUAAUUAGGCAACUUUAAAAUCAUUCAAAUUCGUAAUUAAAGCUGAUAACCUGCUCUUUUUCACAUUUGGGAUCCAAAAAUCAUUACAAACUGAAAUAUGCGUACCCCUUCCCACUUUCCAACACAAACCUUCCUCUAAAGUGCCCUUUGUAGGCCAAAUGCUUUUCCAUGUAUACGAAGCAUUGUUCCCCAAUCGUGAAUCUAAGAAAUUAACAUUCGGGAAAUAUUUUGCUUUUAAAACUUGAGCUAGUAAGGAAUCUGGAUUGUUCAAGAUUCUCCACCCCUGUUUGGCUAGUAAUGAGACAUUAAAUUGAGUCAUAUCUCUAAAACCCAAACCACUUUCUUCUUUUGACCGACACAAAUAUUUCCAUUGACACCAAUGAAUUCCUCUUCUCCCAUGGGCUUUUUGCCACCAGGAUUUAGCAAAAAUGCUUUCUAUAUCUCUACAAAGCGACUUUGGUAAUAAGAAACAAGACAUAGCAUAGGUUGGAAUAGCCUAAACUACCGAAUUUAGAAAUACUUCCUUGCCUCCUUGCGAUAACAUUUUGGUACUCCAUCCUUCAAUUCUGGUGUGUAUUUUCUCUUUGAGAUGCUGAAAAGAUUCUUUUUUCCGUCUACCAACCACAUUCGGGAGACCUAAAUAUCUUUCCAUAUUUGUUGAGGUCCUUACCCCCAAAGUUGCUGAGACUUCUUCCUUUUUUACUUCUGUAGUGUUCGUGCUAAAAAAAUUAUAGAUUUAUUGAAAUUUACACAUUGGCCAGAACACUUUCCAUACAUCUUCAAGAUUUAUUUUAGCACCCUUGCCCCCUGUCUGAUGCUUCCCCAAACAGAAUACAGUCAUCUGUAAAAAGUAAAUGUGAAAUUUUUGGGCCUCUUCUACUUGCCUUUGCACCUCUUAAUGAUCCUUCCUUCAAUGCCAAUCUCAUCAAAGAUGAUAAUCCCUCGCUACACAUUAAAAAUAAAAAAGGACUUAGGGGAUCUCCUUGUCGCAAUCCUCUUGUCGACUUAAAGCUUUGUCCACUACCUCCAUUUGUAUUGACUACUUAGGACGUUGUGGAUAUACAUUUCAUAACCAACUCCACCCAGUCCUUUGCAAAACUCAUUCUUAACAUGACUUCUUUUAUAUAGCCCCAUUUAACCCUUGCAUAAGCUUUACUCAUGUCAAGCUUUACUGCCAUGUAUCCUUUUUUUCCCUACAUUUUUGUCGAAAAGUAUGCAAAAUCUCAUAAGCUAGAAGUACAUUGUCUGAAAUUAGCCUUCCCGGGACGAACGCACUUUGAGCCACCUCAAUACAUCUCCCAAUACCUACUUGUAGUCGAUUUGCAAUUAUUUUUGCCACCAUUUUAUAAAUAACUGAGCACAAACUAAUGGGUCUGAAGUUAGCUACGCUAGUGGGAUUAGGGAUAUUUGGAAUCAACACGAUAUCUGUUUAGUUAAAAGGACCAAAAUUUUCACCAUUAUUUAGUAUUCCCAAACAAAAGUUAGCAAUUUCCUUACCUACAAUGUGCCAAUAUUUCUAAAAGAAGAUUGCUGGAAAACCAUCAUGUCUUGUGCUUUAGUGGGUCUCAUUCAUUUCAAAGCCUCAUAGACUUCUUCUGCUGUAUAUUUUAAUAGUAAAUCUCUGUUGAUAUCUAUCGGAAUAUUACUUUCAAUGCCCGUUAGAAGAUAAGAAGGACCUCCUACUCCAUUUGACGUGAACAACUUCUGAAAGUACAUAGUAGCAGCUUCAUUAAUCUCAUUUACUUCAUUAGCCUCUCCUCCUCCAUCAAGUUCUAACUUUGAUAUGGUAUUAAUGUGUCUUCGAUAAGUGGCAAACCUAUGGAAAAAAGCUGAAGUCAUAUCCCCUGCUUUAAGCCAAUUUUCCUUUGUCCUUUGUUCCCAAUAAGCUUCAUCUUUAUCAAUUUCCAUAUUCAGGUGAAUUUUGGUAUCAAUAAAUUUUGCCAUUGUUUCGUCAGUCCUUUCUUGCGCCAUUAACGUAUCAAGUUGCUUCGUAAGCUUUUUCUUUAAUCCCUCUCGCCGCUCUUUUAUUGAUCUUGACCAUAUCUUUAAGUCUGCUUGUAACCUUUCGAGUUUUUCAGCAACUGUGCCUAUUCCUGAUUCCCAAGAUUCUUUAACUACUUUCUCAAUCGUUUCCUCCAUGAGCCACCACGCCUCAAAUUUAAAUUUUGAAUUGCCCUUAUAAGAAUUUUCACAUUUUGUGUUUAUAAGAAGUGGGCAAUGAUCAUACAUUGAGUGUGUUAGAUGUUUGAUGCUACCUGUUGGAAAUAUCUGCCUCCAUUUAACAUUUGCCGCUCCCGUAUCAAGUCUUUCUCUAAUAUUUGUCUCUGACAAAUUUCCCCUUUCCCAAGUAAACCAAACCCCCGAAUAUCCCAAGUCUUCUAAUAGGCAUUCUUCUAAAACCUCUCGAAGGCCUCCAUUCUACUCUCUUCCCUAGGUACACCCCCACAUUUUUCAUAAGAAUACAUGAUCUCAUUAAAAUCACCACUUACCAACCAUGGAUGACUUCUAUCUUACCCCAAUUUCUUUAGCAGAUUCCACGUAGCACUCCUAUUAUUAACAUAGGGUGAACCAUAGAACCCCGUGAGUCUCCAUUCUUCUUCAUCCUUACCUUCUUUAACCAUAACAUCAAUGUGGCUCCUAGAAUAACUUUGUAAGCUUAUUCCAAUGUCUCCUUUCCAUGCUAAACAUAAUCCUCAUCGCGAACCUUCUGCUUCAAUAUCAAUUCCAUUAGUAAAACUGCAUCUCCUUUUGACUUUUUCCAUGCGUUGCUUCUCUAGCUUUGUCUCCAAUAAGAAGACCAUAUGGGGAUUGUGUUGUUUCAGGAAAAAACACAUCCUUACUGCCCGUGGACUCCCCAAUCCAUGAACAUUCCAACUUAUGAUUUUCAUUGCGUCCGGUCGGCUUGCCUCUUGGCAGCCGCCGAUCUCAAGAAAUUUUUUAUAUCAAAUUGCACAGAACUGUCUAACAUCACAUUUGAGAAGGCUCUUUCGCAGCCCUCAAAAUCAUCUUGUUUCAAUCUUUUAGUUCCAUCCACCUCAAUAUCUUCCUUAUCACUCCUUGCAAGACCUCCUUCUGGGGACUUCCUCUUCCUCGUACUAUUCUUAGCCUUUGUUUGUAUCGCCGUGGCCAUUGGUUUUAUUCUUUUCUAGCUCGUUUUCUUUUCAGGAUUUACGUUUUUACACUCUUGUACCUUGCUACCAUUUGACUUCUCGGCCUCCUCUAUCCCAUAUAUACAUCCCUACUCCUUUAUCAUCUCCUUCCCUCCCAUCAAUUCCACAUACUCCUAUUCACCCCGAAUCUCGUUAUUCUCUUUUUCUAUUGUUUUAGAACUUUCUCUCAACACUAUUUUGCCUCCUGUGUAAGAACUUUGAACCCCCACCUUCUUCAUCAUAGCAUUAAAUUUCAUACUUUCUUUUCCAGCUAAUUUUGAUUCUGUUUUUAAAGCCAACGUAUAAGGUGGAUCAACACUAAUUUUGCUUUUCCUUGCAGGUAUUAUUUGAGUGCAAUCUUUUAUCCCGUGCCCCAUUCUUCCACAUCCAAAACAAAAUAUCGGUAGAUUCUCGUACUUGAAAGGAACCCACAUUUUAUUAACAUGAUUACUAGAGACAAAAAUACCUCGGCGUAGUGGUUUCCAAACAUCCAAAUUGAUUCUGAGCCGACAGCAAGCUUCGUUAAUUUUGGAUCUAAGAACCCCCCAAACGUAACACCAAUUGCAUGCAGGAGAUCCUUCUUAUCGAAUUCUGGUAAAUACGAAUCAAUUUUUAUCCAAAACGGUGAUGAAUUGAGUCUAAUCUGAUCUCUUUCCACCUCCUGAAUUAACCUAUUAAAUAAAAUAAUACUUUUACGGAAAAGCCAAGGUCUCCCCUCCAUAAUUAACUCCAGAUCUUCUUCCAAAUCAAACACUAUCAAAAAUAAAUUUUGUCCCACCAUUUGGAUCUCAAACUUUUUCCUUGUCUUCCAUAUACUUUUCAUUUGCGCCCUAAAACUUUCUGGGUUGUAUAGCUUUUCUGUCCAAACUGUGCAUAUCAGCGUUGGUUUAGAAUUUUGUCCCUCCCCUCUCUAUCCUCGUCACCGCUUUCCUCCAUCCCAAGCCGCAGCAGUUACUGCUUUCUCUAGGACUCUACGUAAAGCACUCUUGGGAGCAGAGAGUCUAGAUAUCUAAUGGAUGAUUAUUAUACAUAAUUAUACUUAAUUUUAUUAUUUAACUAAAAGUUUACAAAUCUAAUGCUCAUUAACAUCUCACGUCAAAAUUAGUGGCAAUUAAUGGUUAAGAUCAUUCCAGACCACUAAGCCUAUUUUGAUUAUGGAAUAUUUAUUUUUAAGGACAUGACAAUUCGCUAAUCAAGGACAUGACAAAGUUUCAAUUAAACUUUUUCAUUGUACUUGCUCUACAAUUAAGUCCCCUAAUUAUUAUAAGACAAUUUAAUUUAUUUACUUCGGUUCUAUUUAUUAAUCCCACAUCCAACUUACUAAUUUCUCAGAUUUUCAAAUUUUAAAUUACUCGAUUUAAGAAAUGCAAUCUUGAACUGGUUUUCCGACAUCAACAACAAUCGAGUCGUUACGUGAACUUUAUCCACGCACCAAAAAACAUCAACAGUCCUAAACUCUUAAUCAUCAUCUUCGCUACCAACGUCCAGUUUGGAGAGGCAAAGCGGUUGUCUGAGACUAUUUGGCGACAUAGGAGAUCGGAGAUAGUACAACCACAAAAACCUUCAGGCGGAAAUAUAACUUAUAGAACUGCUGUGCGAGCUCGAAGCACUAGGGGUGGUGGAAAUAUAGAGUACUUUUAACUCCUUUAUAAAGCCUAAAAACUAAACCGAAUAACUUCUAUUGCAUAGAUAAAUAGAUAGAUAUUUGUUUCUUAUUGAUUGAGCAAACUUGAUUACAAGAUCCAAAUCAAUGACAGAAUCUGCUACCGUAGCAAGCCCAUAAAAUCAUCAAAUCAAACAACAAAAUUCAGUUAAAAAAGAGGGG
Molecule: long non-coding RNA, 6376 nt
Filed under: Gossypium barbadense (sea-island cotton)
Lineage: Eukaryota; Viridiplantae; Streptophyta; Magnoliopsida; Malvales; Malvaceae
Description: long non-coding RNA (GBAR_LNC017825)
Source: RNAcentral